CAGCACGUUGCAAACGCUAUGGAGCUGAGAGGUUGUGAGGAUUGCUUUCCUGCUGUCUGAACUCUUUCUCCCCUACUGAAACGUAGCGGAGUGAAAUAUAAGGUACCAAGGAGGAUCAACAUAUAGGCCUAUACCAAGAUGAAGUUUAUGACCUUCUGAGCUGACUGUGCCUCUGCUUUGUCUGACGUGGAAGCUGAUCUCCAAGAGCUGUCUCAGUGAAAGACUGGGAAUGAAUGCAGAGAUGAUCCUGAUGUCAAGGGGAAGAUUCUGCCAAAACUAGAGCAUUUUAAAAUGCCAG
This is a non-coding RNA of Macaca mulatta (Rhesus monkey), 298 nucleotides long. NCBI's taxonomy places the organism in Eukaryota, Metazoa, Chordata, Mammalia, Primates, Cercopithecidae. The record is from RefSeq and is a predicted model, not a curated record.